Molecule: long non-coding RNA, 328 nt
Filed under: Sorghum bicolor (sorghum)
Lineage: Eukaryota; Viridiplantae; Streptophyta; Magnoliopsida; Poales; Poaceae
Description: long non-coding RNA (SBIC_LNC010819)
Source: RNAcentral
ACGUACCUUUGAAUAAUGUUUACCAUUUGUUGAUAAUUUUCUUGUGGUUUUCUCAUUGAGUCAAAGAUUAUCAACCGGUUUUUGAGAAUUUCAAUGACCAUGAGUAUCCAGUGAAAGCUGUUUACACACAUAUAUAUAGUCAGACCUAUAUAUAACUAUAUAAAACUUGUCUCGAGUAAUAAUAAGUAAAAUAAAAUAUGCAUGCACUUAAUAACUAUAUAACUCACUCGAAGUUGAAGGGGAAGAGUAUUUUGUGUUUUUCUUUUUGGUUCACAAAGAACCUCAUAAGAUUGGUGCAGACUUCUGUCUCAUGAGCUGCUGUCCACAC